Molecule: long non-coding RNA, 1192 nt
Organism: Nematostella vectensis (starlet sea anemone)
Lineage: Eukaryota; Metazoa; Cnidaria; Anthozoa; Actiniaria; Edwardsiidae
Exons: 2
Source: RefSeq, a predicted model, not a curated record
AAUGAGGCUCGUCCUACUUUAGGACACGUCCCACCUGCCUAUAAAUUAUAGUACCCAUUUAGCAAUCUUUAAGAGUUGAGCAGAGAAACCGAAGAGAGAAGAGUUGAGUUGAGAGCCAGAGAAGCAGAGUUAGAGAAGUCAGAGUAAAGUUUGAAGAGUUACAAGCUUACUUGGAGUUGUAUUUCUUUAAUCCCCGGAGACGAGAUCAGACUUGGACGAGUUGAUUGUAAUAAACGCUGUUAAAUCAAGCUUGGAUGACUGUUCUACACUGUGGUUGACACUAAAACGAGCCCACUGCACACUUCCCACAAGUCGCUGCUUUGGAACCGCUUACAAUAGACUAAGACGUGUGUUACGCAUGAUGCGUCUCGAUUCCAUCUAGUGCUCGGCGGAUAAUAACAGAAUACUGGCAUAGCAAUUAAUGCCCGAACUUACGACGCUAGCAGGCCCCACUCGCUCAUUAAGCCGUCACAUUCGUUACAGGAGCCCCGAGGGUGUUCCACGUGGGCUGUACAAUAAACAUACAAUCGAAAAUGGUAAACCCGGACCCCAUUUUAAAACACACCCGAAAGACCCCAUAAAAAAUGUACAGACGUACCCCCAGGCGAUCCACGCAGACCCCAUUAAGAGUGUACAGUCGUGCCGUGGAAAGAAACGGUCCACGCGGACCCCAUAAGAGCGUACACACAUACCCCGCAAACGGUAGACGCGGAACCAAUAAAAAAGUACACACGUAUUUCGCAAACGGUCGACGCGGACCCAAUAAAAAAGUACACACAGACCCAGUAAACGGUAGACGCGGACCCAAUAAAAAAGUACACACGUACCCAGCAAACGUGGCCCCCGGCACAGGAGGAACGGGCAACACUCCUGUUGUUGGGGUAUUAAAGUUGCCUACUAGAGUUGAUGUAUUCUCGCAAGGCAAAGCGUAUGCGAGAAAAAGUUACAGGCCAUAGAUUCUGGAGUAGAUUACAUCAGGGCAUUGAAAUGUUUUCCUUUGGCGCAAUAAAUUGAUGCGAAACGGAUUGGGAAGAGAGCUGUUGAGAGAUGGAAAGUUCGGAUCCGAAUGAUCUAAAAAAGUGGGAUAUCAGUGAGAAUAACAGUCCAUAAUUAUGGACCUGAUGAAGUAUGUGAGACAGUCUGAGAGGUAGGUUGAUGGUGAGAAUGAUGUGAGUGGGGCUGACUUGGGCAA